This 3176-nucleotide long non-coding RNA is filed under the name Mytilus galloprovincialis (Mediterranean mussel). The record is from RNAcentral. Lineage: Eukaryota; Metazoa; Mollusca; Bivalvia; Mytilida; Mytilidae.
AUUGAAGUUAUAAUCAAAUAACUUCAUAUCAAGACAUUUCAGGGGCACCAACUCCUAUAAGAUGCCAUUUAAUUGUAUAAGACUAAAUGUAGCAUAUCUUCAUUACAAUAAAGCUGACAUUUUGCACUUGUUCUUUUAUGUGUAUCUCUCAAAGUGUCGGAGAAAAUGCAAAAACAAGCAAAAGUCACAAUUUAGAACUUGACCUUGACCUUUGACCUUGACCUCAUUUUCUAAGUUGGGACCCAUUGGACUCAAAUAAAAACAUUCCAGGGUUAUACGGUUAACUGGUUAUGAGUUAACUAAACAUACCGACAAAUUUAUUUUGUAAAGGUAGAUAACUCCUAUAAAAUUUCAUCGAAUCGCUUCGAUCAAAAUGCGCCAAAAAUUACUGAGGAUGUAACGAAAAAUUCGUAAAAAGAAUUUUGUCGCUAUCUUUUUUUGUUACGAAGGAGAUGCACACAGAUGAUAAACAGUGAAUAGGGAGAUAACUCUUACAAAGAAAAUGGUUCGGCUUAGCAGGGUGAAAUUUAAAAGCGCAUAAACUAUACGAUACCAUAUGAGAAAUAUUUAAGCGACAUAUUGCGAAACAAACAUUUAUCGCAAGAACAAAAUUUGGCGGAAAAAAAAAAAAAAUAAUAAUUAAAAACCAAUUGUUCAGAGAACAAUUGAAAGUCUUUCCACACCAAAGAAAUUUUGAUAAGAAGAUAGUUUCUUCAUACUGAUGCCAUAAAUGAUGGUUUAAUUAUCUUUUUGAGUGAUAUAAGGAAGAUACUAUGCUACUUCCGGUAAAAUGAAUGUCACAUCCGGUCUCAUAUGAUAGCUUCUUUCACACUGAUUUCAAAAAUAUAUAGUUUCUAUAUACUUUUGUAUGUAGAAUGGGAGAUAAUUGGCCACUUCCGGUUUGUUGGAAGUCAUUUUUAGUCUUCAGUUAUCUGUUCAUGUAUCUUUAUGACAAAAUAUAUGGAUUCUGAGAACUUUUAUGUGAAAAAAUUGCAAAAAAAGCUACUUCCGGUUUUCCCAAGGUCACUUCCGGUUGCCAUUUUUCAAGGUCAUUUGUCACUUAACCUUUUGUAUAAGGUCAAAUGUCUUUAUAAUGAACUUAAUUGAAGUUAUUAUCAAAUAACCUCAUAUCAAGACAUUUCAGGGGCAUCAACUCCUAUAAGAUGCCAUUUAAUUGUAUAAGACUAAAUGUAGCAUAUCUUCACUACAAUAAAGCUGACAUUUUGCACUUGUUCUUUUAUAUGUAUCUCUCAAAGUGUCAGAGAAAAUGCAAAAACAAGCAAAAGUCACAAUUUAGAACUUGACCUUGACCUUUGACCUUGACCUCAUUUUCUAAGUAAGGACCUAGGGGACUCAAAUAAAAACAUUCCAGGGUUAUACGGUUAACUGUUUAUGAGUUAAAUAAACAUACCGACAAAUUUAUUUUGUAAAGGUAGAUAACUCCUAUAAAAUUUCAUCGAAUCGCUUCGAUCCAAAUACGCCAAAAAUUACUGAGGAUGUAACGAACAAUUUGUAAAAAGAAUUUUGUCGCUAUCUUGUUUUGUUACAAAGGAGAUGCACACAGAGGAUAAACAGUGAAAAGGGAGAUAACUCUUACAUAGAAAAUGGUUCGCCUUAGCAGGGUGAAAUUUAAAAGCGCAUAAACUAUACGAUACCCUAUGAGAAAUAUCUAAGCGACAUAUUGCGAAACAAACAUUUUGCGCAAGAACAAAAUUUGGCGGAAGAAAAAAAAAAAAAAUAAAUUAAAAACCAAUUGUUCAGAGAACAAUUGAAAGUCUUUCCACAGCAAAGAAAUUUGGAUAAGAAGGUAGUUUCUUCAUACUGAUGCGAUGUAUAAUGGUUUAAUUAUAUUAAUGAGUGAUAUAAGGGAGAUAACAUGCUACUUCCGGUGAAAUGAAUGUCACUUCCGGUCUCAUAUGAUAGCUUCUUUCACACUGAUUCCAAAAAUAUAUAGUUUCUAUAUACUUUUGUAUGUAGAAUGGGAGAUAAUUGACCACUUCCGGUUUGUUGGAAGUCAUUUUUAGUCUUCAGUAAUCAGUUUCUGUAUCCAUAUGACAAAAUAUAUGGAUUCUGAGUUCUUUUAUGUGAAAAAAUUGCAAAAAAAAACUACUUCCGGUUUUCUCAAGGUCACUUCCGGUAGCCAUUUUUCAAGGUCAUUUGUCACUUAACCUUUUGUAUAAGGUCAAAUGUCUUUAUAAUGAACUUAAUUGAAGUUAUAAUCAAAUAACCUCAUAUCAAGACAUUUCAGGGGCACCAACUCCUUUAAGAUGCCAUUUAAUUGUAUAAGAUUAAAUGUAGCAUAUCUUCAUUACAAUUAAGCAGACAUUUUGAACUUGUUCUUUUAUAUGUAUCUCUCACAGUGUUGGAGAAAAUGCAAAAACAAGCAAAAGUCACAAUUGAGAACUUGACCUUGACCUAUGACCUUGACCUCAUUUUCUAAGUUAGGACCUAGGGGCCUCAAAUAAAAACAUUCCAGGGUUAUACGGUUAACUGUUUAUGAGUUAAAAAAACAUACCGACAAAUUUAUUUUGUAAAGGUAGAUAACUCCUAUAAAAUUUCAUCGAAUCGCUUCGAUCCAAAUGAGCCAAAAAUUCCUGAGGAUGUAACGAACAAUUUAUAAAAGGAAUUUUGUCGCUAUCUUUUUUUGUUACGAAGGAGAUGCACACAGAUCAUAAACAGUGAAUAGGGAGAUAACUCUUACAAAGAAAAUGGUUCGACUUAGCAGGGUGAAAUUUAAAAGCGCAUAAACUAUACGAUACCAUAUGAGAAAUAUCUAAGCGACACAUUGCGAAACAAACAUUUAUCGCAAGAACAAAAUUUGGCGGAAAAAAAAAAAAAAUAAUAAUAAUCAGAAGAAAAACAAUAAGUCUUUCCACAGAAAAGUGGAAAGACUUAAUAAUCAGAACAAAAACAAUAAGUCUUUCCACAGAAAAGUGGAAAGACUUAAUAAUCAGAACAAAUACAAUAAGUCUUUUCACAAAAAAGUGAAAAGACUUAAUAAUAAUCAGAACAAAUACAAUAGUUCUUUCCACAGAAAAGUGGAAAGACCUAAUAAUAAUAAUCAGAAGAAAAACAAUAAGUCUUUCCACAGAAAAGUGGAAAGACUUAAUAAUAAUCAGAAGAAAAACAAUAAGUCUUUCCACAGAAAAGUGGAAAGACUUAAUAAUCAGAAGAAA